AUGUUAAGCCUAACUGUUUACUUACAGUGCAUGCAUAACACUAAGCCAUGGUACAUGAUUGUUUUGUAUGCUAUAGCCAUGGUAGGUUUUGAUCAUGAAAAUGGUGAGGUUUGUAAAGACUUACUUAAAACAAAAGAUGGAACAGAUCAUUGGCUCAUAUGUAGCUCCUCUUUUGAAAGAGGUUACUGUGUGAGGCAACAUCGAUUUGUUUCUGAGUUAUCUACUUCAACACAAUUACUUCAUGUAAGCCGCUGCAGUGGGAAAUUACGAUCCAGUGGGAAUUGA
Molecule: non-coding RNA, 285 nt
Organism: Vicia faba (fava bean)
Lineage: Eukaryota; Viridiplantae; Streptophyta; Magnoliopsida; Fabales; Fabaceae
Source: the annotation of a GenBank genome assembly